Molecule: transfer RNA, 75 nt
Filed under: Loxodonta africana (African savanna elephant)
Lineage: Eukaryota; Metazoa; Chordata; Mammalia; Proboscidea; Elephantidae
Rfam family: tRNA
About the family: Transfer RNA (tRNA) molecules are approximately 80 nucleotides in length. Their secondary structure includes four short double-helical elements and three loops (D, anti-codon, and T loops).
Source: Rfam by way of RNAcentral
GCAGUGGUAGUUCAUUCAGUGGUAGAAUUUUUGCCUUCCAUGCAGGAGACUCAGGUUCGAUUCCCAGCCAAUGCA